UAGGGAAUCUUCGGCAAUGGGGGCAACCCUGACCGAGCAACGCCGCGUGAGUGAAGAAGGUUUUCGGAUCGUAAAGCUCUGUUGUAAGAGAAGAACGAGUGUGAGAGUGGAAAGUUCACGCUGUGACGGUAUCUUACCAGAAAGGGACGGCUAACUACGUGCCAGCAGCCGCGGUAAUACGUAGGUCCCGAGCGUUAUCCGGAUUUAUUGGGCGUAAAGCGAGCGCAGGCGGUUAGAUAAGUCUGAAGUUAAAGGCUGUGGCUUAACCAUAGUACGCUUUGGAAACUGUUUAACUUGAGUGCAGAAGGGGAGAGUGGAAUUCCAUGUGUAGCGGUGAAAUGCGUAGAUAUAUGGAGGAACACCGGUGGCGAAAGCGGCUCUCUGGUCUGUAACUGACGCUGAGGCUCGAAAGCGUGGGGAGCAAACAGGAUUAGAUACCCUGGUAGUCCACGCCGUAAACGAUGAGUGCUAGGUGUUGGGUCCUUUCCGGGACUCAGUGCCGCAGCUAACGCAUUAAGCACUCCGCCUGGGGAGUACGACCGCAAGGUUG
RNAcentral lists this ribosomal RNA (550 nucleotides) under uncultured bacterium. RNAcentral's name for it is "bacterial SSU rRNA". It matches the Rfam family "Bacterial small subunit ribosomal RNA", at positions 355 to 896 of the family's 1533-position model. The record is from RNAcentral.